RNAcentral lists this ribosomal RNA (495 nucleotides) under uncultured bacterium. Its description in RNAcentral is "partial 16S ribosomal RNA". It matches the Rfam family "Bacterial small subunit ribosomal RNA", at positions 28 to 507 of the family's 1533-position model. The record is from RNAcentral.
GACGAACGCUGGCGGCGUGCCUAAUACAUGCAAGUAGAACGCUGAAGGAGGAGCUUGCUUCUCCGGAUGAGUUGCGAACGGGUGAGUAACGCGUAGGUAACCUGCCUGGUAGCGGGGGAUAACUAUUGGAAACGAUAGCUAAUACCGCAUAAGAGUAGAUGUCGCAUGACAUUUGCUUAAAAGGUGCAACUGCACCACUACCAGAUGGACCUGCGUUGUAUUAGCUAGUUGGUGAGGUAACGGCUCACCAAGGCAACGAUACAUAGCCGACCUGAGAGGGUGAUCGGCCACACUGGGACUGAGACACGGCCCAGACUCCUACGGGAGGCAGCAGUAGGGAAUCUUCGGCAAUGGACGGAAGUCUGACCGAGCAACGCCGCGGGAGUGAAGAAGGUUUUCGGAUCGUAAAGCUCGGUUGUAAGAGAAGAACGAGUGUGAGAGUGGAAAGUUCACACUGUGACGGUAUCUUACCAGAAAGGGACGGCUAACUACGUG